Molecule: long non-coding RNA, 563 nt
Organism: Mandrillus leucophaeus (drill)
Lineage: Eukaryota; Metazoa; Chordata; Mammalia; Primates; Cercopithecidae
Exons: 2
Source: RefSeq, a predicted model, not a curated record
AGCUUCGAAGAAGCUGCGAAGAUGGAAAAGUGGAAACUUGGCAGACAGAUCCAGCCUCCCUGGCCAUUGGCCCAUGCUCGUGGCUCCUGGACGGUGCUGCCCACGUUCUGAGCAGCUCGGGACAGGUGGAGAUCAGGACUGGCAGCUGCAAGGACAGACCAGAGCCACAGAAACUAAAGAGAAUUUCCAAAAGGAGGCUAUGGUGAAGUCUCUGAUGAUGCAAAGAAGACAAGGAGAAUGGAAAUCCAAUGAAAGCCUGAUUAUAUUUGUUGACCUUAAGGAGAGUGAUUUUAUGGCACAGCCUCUCUGGAAGGGAGGGUGUGUUCGCUCACAGUGUGCAAAUACCCUUUGACCCAGUAAUCUUUCUUCUAGGAGUUUCUCCUACAGAUAAAUUUAGAAUGGUGCUCAAAUAACUAAGUUCAAGGAUAUCCUCUGAAGCAUUGUUGUAGUAUAAAAAGAUCAUAGAUAUCCUCAAAGGAUAUCAUUAGGGGCCUGGUAAAAUAAAUUCCACACAUGGAAACACCAUGAAGCUCUUUAGAGAAUAAACAGCUCUCUAUAUGUGA